This is a long non-coding RNA of Mytilus californianus (California mussel), 419 nucleotides long. RefSeq lists it as uncharacterized. NCBI's taxonomy places the organism in Eukaryota, Metazoa, Mollusca, Bivalvia, Mytilida, Mytilidae. The transcript has 3 exons. The record is from RefSeq and is a predicted model, not a curated record.
UACCAAAUAAGCGAAACUUGAGAACCAAAGACUGUUUACCUGUGGCAUGAAAUAGGAAAUAAGUUUAGAUCAAAAUUUUCCUAAAUUUAAUGUAACCGAAAAGUUGAUUAAACAUGAUGAUUUUUUUCACUGCCGUCGUUCUUUUAUCAAUAUUUUGUUCAGGUUUUUGCUGUGAGACCAGAAAUAGUGGAUGAUAUUUUACCAGAGGUUAAAAAACAAGGUCAAACAGCAUACCUGAAUUGUUCUGUCAUAAAUUUACAGUCUCCAGCACAGUUGCAAUGGAUUAAACAGGCCACCCCAACUGGUCUCCCUCAACACAUUUCCUCAGAUGAAACUGUUCGUAUUAAUGAAGUUGUUAAAGGAAGAAGAAAAUAUGAUGUGGUGAAAUACAGAACAAGCAAUCGUGAAAUAUACCAACU